CCAGAGAACUUAGCAGAGAUGCUUUGGUGGCCUUCGGGGAACUCUGAGACAGGUGCUGCAUGGCUGUCGUCAGCUCGUGUUGUGAAAUGUUGGGUUAAGUCCCGCAACGAGCGCAACCCUUAUCCUUUGUUGCCAGCGGCUCGGCCGGGAAACUCAAAGGAGACUGCCGGUGAUAAACCGGAGGAAGGUGGGGAUGACGUCAAGUCAUCAUGGCCCUUACGGCCAGGGCUACACACGUGCUACAAUGGCGCAUACAAAGAGAAGCGACCUCGCGAGAGCAAGCGGACCUCAUAAAGUGCGUCGUAGUCCGGAUUGGAGUCUGCAACUCGACUCCAUGAAGUCGGAAUCGCUAGUAAUCGUAGAUCAGAAUGCUACGGUGAAUACGUUCCCGGGCCUUGUACACACCGCCCGUCACACCAUGGGAGUGGGUUGCAAAAGAAGUAGGUAGCUUAACCUUCGGGAGGGCGCUUACCACUUUGUGAUUCAUGACUGGGGUGAAGUCGUAACAAGGUAAGCGUAGCGAG
This 524-nucleotide ribosomal RNA is filed under the name uncultured bacterium. RNAcentral's name for it is "bacterial SSU rRNA". It matches the Rfam family "Bacterial small subunit ribosomal RNA", at positions 988 to 1509 of the family's 1533-position model. The record is from RNAcentral.